This 443-nucleotide ribosomal RNA is filed under the name uncultured bacterium. Its description in RNAcentral is "partial 16S ribosomal RNA". It matches the Rfam family "Bacterial small subunit ribosomal RNA", at positions 338 to 795 of the family's 1533-position model. The record is from RNAcentral.
CCUACGGGAGGCAGCAGUGGGGAAUAUUGCGCAAUGGGGUCCACCCUGACGCAGCAACGCCGCGUGAUUGAAGAAGGCCUUCGGGUUGUACAGAUCUUUAAUUGGGGACGACACAAAUGCCGGUCCCCAAAGUAUAAGCUCCGGCUAACUACGUGCCAGCAGCCGCGGUAAUACGUAGGGAGCAAGCGUUAUCCGGAUUUACUGGGUGUACAGGGCGAGUAGGCGGGCUGGCAAGUUGGGCGUGAAAUCACGGGGCUUAACCCUGGAACUGCUUUCAAAACUGCUGGUCUUGAGUGAUGGAGAGGCAGGUGGAAUGCCGUGUGUAGCGGUGAAAUGCGUAGAUAUACGGAGGAACACCAGUGGCGAAGGCGGCCUGCUGGACAUUAACUGACGCUGAGGAGCGAAAGCGUGGGGAGCAAACAGGAUUAGAUACCCGGGUAGUC